Molecule: unclassified non-coding RNA, 336 nt
Filed under: soil metagenome
Description: partial contains 5.8S ribosomal RNA, internal transcribed spacer 2, and large subunit ribosomal RNA
Rfam family: 5.8S ribosomal RNA (bases 1-120)
Source: RNAcentral
GAUGAAGAACGCAGUGAAACGCGAUAAGUAAUGUGAAUUGCAGAAUUCAGUGAAUCAUCGAAUCUUUGAACGCACAUUGCGCCCGCCAGUAUUCUGGCGGGCAUGCCUGUUCGAGCGUCAUUUCAACCAUCAAGCCCCCGGCUUGUGUUGGGGACCUGCGGCUGCCGCAGGCCCUGAAAAGCAGUGGCGGGCUCGCUGUCACACCGAGCGUAGUAGCAUACAUCUCGCUCUGGGCGUGCUGCGGGUUCCGGCCGUUAAACCACCUUCAUAACCCAAGGUUGACCUCGGAUCAGGUAGGAAGACCCGCUGAACUUAAGCAUAUCAAUAAGCGGAGGA